AGACUGCCUUUCCCUUCGUAUUGCAGAUGGCGCGCCAUGCGCUACAGAUUUUAAGCACAUUAUUCGUUCCUAACCAUGACUCUUCUAAAAAGACCCAUUAAAGAUAGUUGACAUGUUAAUGUAAUAAUGAAUUAAUUAUUAAAGAUGACCGGACAUAUCGAGUCAGAAAAGAAGCGUUUACUAUCAUUAAAAAGAAAAAAGGAAGCGUUUAAAGUUAAAGAACAGCUUAUUCAUGAUGCAUUAAAAAAUUUGGAUAAAAGAAAAGCAGAUAAUAAGAUCGUGUUCGAUGAUGGGAUUGCCAGUGAAAAAGAGAAGGGAAAACGUAAGAUCUUGUUUGAUAAUGAAGAUGACGACGAUGAAGAGGUUACUUGGAACGAUGAUAAAUUCAAAACGAAGAGAAAUGUAGACGAGAAGUACAUCAAAUUACAAGGAAGUAUUGGUAAUGACUCUCGGUUUACUUUGGACAAUCGUUUUAUCGAAGAAAAUGUAAGGGAUAAAGGGGAUAUAGAAGAAGUCGGCAAAGGUGAUUCACAAAAUGAAAGAGAAUGGCAAUUUAAUAUACUAGAAGACGUUUUGGGUGGACCAAUUGCGACAAAGCUUAAAAAUGAAGAAACAGUCAAAAAAUUUGCAAUGAUACGAUAUGACCCAACGGAGGAGAAACACAAACAAUACGAACUUAGAACGGAAGAAAUUAAGUCUAAUGCAAAGAUCAAAAGGAAAAAGAAAAAAAUAGAAAUUGAAGUAGAAACUAAGAAAGAUGAAAUGGUUGUAGUAUCAAAGGAUAUAUAUUAUUCGGUGUCGGAUUCAUUGACCAAGAGUUUACAAGAUCGUCAACAAGGAGAAUUUAGUUUAUUGAAGGCAUAUGGAAAGGACGUGGACGAGACUGAUAAAAGAGACGUAGGGAGAAUUAACGAAGAAAUGGCCGAAAAGCAAAAGUCGUUUUUAAAUUUCGACUUGGCAAAUCCGUUUAAAUACGAUUCGUCGGACGACGAAAAUGGUAUUAAUUUAGAUGUUCAACGUUUAAUAGAUCAGAGAGAAGAGAAAGAAUCAAAUCGUUUAUUUGUAAAAGAUAACGAUAAUUUGUUCUUUACAAGGAAUGAUAGGCGCUUCGAAGAUGCUUUAAAUUUCUUUAAAAAGGAAUUUGUGGCGGAUAACGGAUUUACAAAUUUGAGACGUGAAUUAAAACAAAUCGUACGUGCAAAAGUUCGUAAGAAUGUUAGAAAGACGGAAAAAUGGGGAAGUAGAAAGAAAAAUAUAAGAAAACCGUCGUAAAAGAGAGGAACUGUAUAAUAUUUAUCGAUAAUAUUUACCUGUUAAAGGACGUAUAUUAAGAAAUUAUGCCUUUGUCCGAUGAAAGUGCACUAACCAACGACAUUACCGAAGAAAAUAUCAAAGAGACAAGUUUCGAUCACGAGGUACGAUUAAAUUUAUUAACGACAACCAAACUCGAAAUUUAUUCUAAAAUUAUUCGUUAAAAUGUGUUAAUAGAAAAUUGAAUUAAACGAAAAUAUAAGCGAUUCUUGGACGGUAAUCGUAAAGGCGAUAACGCAUCGUGGAACGCAAACAUUAAUACAAUGCGAUCCUAAUUUGACGAAGGAAGAAUUUAUCAAAAGAAUUGUUAAAACGAAAUUGUAAAAUAAUAUAUCUACGGAACAAACUUCCUCGUAUUUAUAUAUUUUUUUUCUAUUGAGUAUUAUUGAAUAUACGCCAUCGAGCAAAUUUUGACGUAUUACGAAGAGAAUCAAGGACGAAUAUAUAUCCUAAGAUAUAUAGGAGUAAGACGAUCAAAUCGCGGCGGCGGGGGGGGGUGGGGGGAGGGGAGGCAAGUGAAAGAGCGGAAGUAGAUGUGACUGGCUCGGACGAGGGAUACAACUCUGGUUUCUUUUUUUUCUUUUUUUUUCUUUUUUUUCUUUUUUUUCUUUUUUUUCUUUUUUUUCUUUUUUUCGAACGAAAUUGAGAAAUUAGCGGAUUAAGAAAGGAAGAAAAAGAAUAUAUCUGCGCAAUCGCGCGACGUCCAUAGGAGCGCAGAGACGGAGACUUACCUACAUAAUUGAAUCUUCUCGAGAGACGCAAAUUUGGCGUGGUUGCGAUAAAAUUUAUUGCCGCAGAAAGUAGAGCGUAGCACGUGCUUCGAUCGAGCGUACGAGACUUAGUGAGCAAACUGAAAAUUGAUCACGUUCGUCGUUUAUCGUUAAUCCACCGUUGGCUUAUUUAUUAUAUGACUAUGGGGAUGGAGAAAAAACUUUCGAUCGAUGCGACGUAACACGAAGAAAAUGAAAAGUCUUCUUGAAACUCAAAAACGCGUCGUUAUUAGAUUAACCUUUUUAAGAACGUGUGCAGUUCUAUGUGCACUCACUUUUAUAUGGUAGCGCCCGAUAGAUCCUUCCUUUUAUGUUUAUUCAUGUAGGAAACGACGAAGUUUUGGCAAGAUCGUUAUCGUGCGAACGAAAAGCGAGCAUGUCUGUUACGUGUUCCAGCUGUUUUUCAUGAGCUUGCAAUGGUGCAUUUUUUUUCUUUUUUCUUCUCUUUCUUUCUUUCUUUUUUUUUUUUUUUAUUUUAUUUUUUUGUUAAUCCUUACCUCUUCACAAAUUGUGUAAAGCGUUCUUUUUUUAAUCUCUUAUUUACAAUCGAGAAUAUAUUUAAAUGAAUUUCAAAGCAUAAUUAAUAUAAAUGUUUUUAUGUAAAUAUUUAACGAUUUCAUAAAAACAAAAAUGCCAUAAAUUACUUUUUGCUCAUUUUCUGAGGAUACCUCGUUUGCUAAUUGUUUUUUUAGUUUUUUUUAUUAAAUACUUUUUUCAUUAUAUAACACUAAUUUCUAAGAUAUAACUAUAAGCUUAUUUCCUUCGAUUCCCUCGGCCAUCGACAAUAACUUGUUUCUUUCAUAGAUUUUAAAUGAUCAUUCAUUGCUUGAAGGGUCUUUUGUUAGAAGGAGCUGGUAACCUGUAUUUUUCUAAUUCCACUUCCGCUUCUGCGAAUGAAUCUAAGUGAUAACAAAAGUACUCUGGAUUUUUAUACUCUUUAUCUUUGGAUGCACCUGGUCCCACUGCUAAAACAAGAGAGGAGCCUUUCAAGAGAGGAGCCCUCCAAGAGAGGAGCCCUCCAAGAGAGGAGGAGUCCUUUUAUAAAUAACGAAUAUUGAAAACGUUUCAUUUCUUACGUUUUGUAGGAAGUUUGUAACAUUUAUCGCUAAGUCCUGGUACAUUUGCAUUUAUACUUUGUUGCUUUUGAUUACAUAAAGAACGAUGUGCAUUGAAUGUUCCAAGGUAGACCAAUGAGACAUUCUGAAAUAGAAUCAUCAUGACAAAUGUUUGCUAAGGAAGAAGCGUUGUGUUACAAUUACUAAACGAACCUUCCCCUUUUUAUUCCAACAUGAUAUAAUAUUAAUAUUUAGGCGAUGAGACACGCCAUUUGAUGAAUAUUUUCUUUAAAUACACGCGCAUAGUAUUCAUAUAUGUGUUUAAAUUUUAUUUACGUUAAAAAAAAUGACAAUACGAUGAAUUGAAAUUCAUUGUAAAAGAUAUUAUGCCACUUCGUUUUAAUAAGAUUUAAAUGAAUUAUAAGAAAUGAAAAAUCUACGCAUGUAGAUAAUCACCUUUGGUAAAGUCUUCUUAACGAUUAGAUGCAACAUUUUGUCUCUUCUAGGAAAUCGAGAUAAAUAUAGAUUCGUAUAAAUGAUUGUAUGCUUUCAUAACAGGUCCAAAAUUGUUGUCUUCUCCUUCGGCCUAGGUAAACUCAUUUUUAUUUGACAUGCGUAAAUCGGCCAAGCUAUUUUAUUCGUACAUUGCUCCUCAUUGGUGCAUACUUUUCUAAAGGAAGUAUUCGAUUGGUCGAUGUUAUGUAAUGCCCUUCCGUAUGGUGGAUUCUCCAGUUGCGCUAUCAUUAGUGAGAAGAUUCCUUGGAAUUGUUGGAUGCAAGUUUCUUCUUAGUCUUUUAAUCAUAUAAUUGAACUAAAACAAGAGUAAUUGUAUCAUUCGAAACAGUGCCACGAUGUCCGAAUACAGUCUGAAAAAAUAUAACUACAAUUCUCAGACCGAAGGAAAGGAGCCCUUUCAGAAAUUGAUAGGACUAGGAAAAUUUGCUUAUUUAGGUGCUGCCUUCACAUCCGCAUAUGAGAUUUGCUUGGUACGACGACCACCAAAUUUACGAAUGGGCCUUGUUCAGGGUGGAAAACACUUUUUCGUUUGGUUGGGUGCAUCUGCAACGUUUACAACCGCAGUACUGUGUUUAACAAAUAUCAGAAAAAAGGAUGAUCCAUGGAAUUAUUUUUUUGGCACAUUAGCUAGCGGAGCUUUUACUUAUUCUUUCAUUCGGAGAGGCCAUUUCGUAUUCUUUGUGACUAUGUAUGCAGCCAUUGGAGCAGCAAUAUUUAAAUAUAAGCUUAUGCAAGGUUAUAAACCAUUAGAAUACGACUUUAAAUUUCGAAUUUCAUCGUUUCACCUUAAUUUUGAUAAAACACCCGAUGUAAGGUACGAGAAACCAUAAUUAUUUAUUCGUAAAAUGAAAAGUUAUUGCGUUACAAUAAUUAAAAAAAAUGCGUUUGACUGGUCCAUAAGAUCAGUGUUUUAAGUAAUAUUCAUGGGGAUAUAUAUAUAUAUAUAUAUACACAUAUAUAUACACAGAUAUAUAUAUAUAUAUAUAUAUGUAUUAUUUGAAGUAGUAAAAAUCUGUAAAUUCUCCACGCGUAUCCUUGUGCAUAAAUGUACACCGUAGGCGUGAGAUCCAUAAUAAAAGAUAUCGACAAUGGA
Molecule: RNA transcript, 4745 nt
Organism: Vespa velutina
Lineage: Eukaryota; Metazoa; Arthropoda; Insecta; Hymenoptera; Vespidae
Gene name: probable RNA-binding protein CG14230
Exons: 11
Source: RefSeq, a predicted model, not a curated record